CCUACGGGUGGCUGCAGUGGGGAAUAUUGGACAAUGGGGGCAACCCUGAUCCAGCCAUGCCGCGUGUGUGAAGAAGGCCCUCGGGUGGUAAAGCACUUUCAGUGAGGAAGAACGCCUGGUGGUUAAUACCCAUCAGGAAAGACAUCACUCACAGAAGAAGCACCGGCUAACUCCGUGCCAGCAGCCGCGGUAAUACGGAGGGUGCGAGCGUUAAUCGGAAUUACUGGGCGUAAAGCGCGCGUAGGUGGCUUGAUAAGCCGGUUGUGAAAGCCCCGGGCUCAACCUGGGAACGGCAUCCGGAACUGUCAAGCUAGAGUGCAGGAGAGGAAGGUAGAAUUCCCGGUGUAGCGGUGAAAUGCGUAGAGAUCGGGAGGAAUACCAGUGGCGAAGGCGGCCUUCUGGACUGACACUGACACUGAGGUGCGAAAGCGUGGGUAGCAAACAGGAUUAGAUACCCCGGUAGUC
This 465-nucleotide ribosomal RNA is filed under the name Vreelandella stevensii. RNAcentral describes it as "partial 16S ribosomal RNA". It matches the Rfam family "Bacterial small subunit ribosomal RNA", at positions 338 to 795 of the family's 1533-position model. The record is from RNAcentral. Lineage: Bacteria; Pseudomonadati; Pseudomonadota; Gammaproteobacteria; Oceanospirillales; Halomonadaceae.